RNAcentral lists this ribosomal RNA (488 nucleotides) under Gemmula lisajoni. RNAcentral describes it as "partial 16S ribosomal RNA". It matches the Rfam family "Bacterial large subunit ribosomal RNA", at positions 1846 to 2589 of the family's 2925-position model. Lineage: Eukaryota; Metazoa; Mollusca; Gastropoda; Neogastropoda; Turridae. The record is from RNAcentral.
UAAGGAGUCGGACCUGCCCAGUGAAUUUUUUCCAACGGCCGCGGUACUCUGACCGUGCAAAGGUAGCAUAAUCAUUUGCCUUAUAAUUGGAGGCUAGUAUGAAUGGUUUGACAAGAAUAUAGCUGUCUCUUUAUAAUUUUAUAGAAUUUUAUUUUAAAGUGAAGAAGCUUUAAUAUAAUUAAAAGACAAGAAGACCCUAUCGAGCUUUAAAAGAAUCUUUAGAAAUUAAUUAAUAAAUAAUCUUAAAAAAUUAGCUAUUAAAUAUUUUGGUUGGGGCGACUAAGGAACAAAUAAAGCUUCCUUUAAACAAAUAAAUUUUACACACAUGUGUUGAUCCAAAAUUUUUGAUUAAAGAAUAUAGUUACCGUAGGGAUAACAGCAUUAUCUUUUUUGAGAGUUCUUAUCGAAAAAAAGGUUUGUGACCUCGAUGUUGGACCAGAAUAUCCUAAAGAUGCAGAAGUCUUUAAGGGUUGGUCUGUUCGACCAUU